CGUGUAGGCGGCUCAUCAAGUCUGGUGUGAAAACGCAAGGCUUAAACCUUGCGGUUGCGCUGGAAACUGGUGGGCUUGAGUUCUUGAGGGGAAGCUGGAAUUCCAGGUGUAGGGGGUGAAAUCUGUAGAUAUCUGGAAGAACACCGGUGGCGAAGGCGAGCUUCUAUCAGAGGACUGACGCUGAGGCGCGAAAGGCGUGGGGAGCAAACAGGAUUAGAUACCCUGGUAGUCCAACGCUGUAAACGAUGUGCACUAGGCGUGGGGCCCGUACGGGUUCUGUGCCGUAAUUAACGUGUUAAGUGCACCGCCUGGGGAGUAUGCUCGCAAGGGUGAA
Molecule: ribosomal RNA, 334 nt
Filed under: uncultured bacterium
Lineage: Bacteria
Description: bacterial SSU rRNA
Rfam family: Bacterial small subunit ribosomal RNA
Source: RNAcentral